RNAcentral lists this ribosomal RNA (1365 nucleotides) under Companilactobacillus heilongjiangensis. RNAcentral's name for it is "bacterial SSU rRNA". It matches the Rfam family "Bacterial small subunit ribosomal RNA", at positions 90 to 1444 of the family's 1533-position model. Lineage: Bacteria; Bacillati; Bacillota; Bacilli; Lactobacillales; Lactobacillaceae. The record is from RNAcentral.
AGUGAGUGGCGGACGGGUGAGUAACACGUGGGUAACCUGCCCAAAAGUGGGGGAUAACAUUUGGAAACAAGUGCUAAUACCGCAUAACAACUACUUUCACAUGAUCGUAGUUUAAAAGAUGGCUCUGCUAUCGCUUUUGGAUGGACCCGCGGCGUAUUAGCUAGUUGGUGAGGUAAAGGCUCACCAAGGCAAUGAUACGUAGCCGACCUGAGAGGGUAAUCGGCCACAUUGGGACUGAGACACGGCCCAAACUCCUACGGGAGGCAGCAGUAGGGAAUCUUCCACAAUGGGCGAAAGCCUGAUGGAGCAAUGCCGCGUGAGUGAAGAAGGUUUUCGGAUCGUAAAACUCUGUUGUUGAAGAAGAACAUGCGUGAGAGUAACUGUUCACGUACUGACGGUAUUCAACCAGAAAGCCACGGCUAACUACGUGCCAGCAGCCGCGGUAAUACGUAGGUGGCAAGCGUUGUCCGGAUUUAUUGGGCGUAAAGAGAAUGUAGGCGGUUUAUUAAGUUUGAAGUGAAAGCCCUCGGCUCAACCGAGGAAGUGCUUCGAAAACUGGUAAACUUGAGUGCAGAAGAGGAAAGUGGAACUCCAUGUGUAGCGGUGGAAUGCGUAGAUAUAUGGAAGAACACCAGUGGCGAAGGCGGCUUUCUGGUCUGUAACUGACGCUGAGAUUCGAAAGCAUGGGUAGCAAACAGGAUUAGAUACCCUGGUAGUCCAUGCCGUAAACGAUGAGUGCUAAGUGUUGGAGGGUUUCCGCCCUUCAGUGCUGCAGCUAACGCAUUAAGCACUCCGCCUGGGGAGUACGAUCGCAAGAUUGAAACUCAAGGAAUUGACGGGGGCCCGCACAAGCGGUGGAGCAUGUGGUUUAAUUCGAAGCAACGCGAAGAACCUUACCAGGUCUUGACAUACCAUGAAAAGCUAAGAGAUUAGUCUUUCCCUUCGGGGACAUGGAUACAGGUGGUGCAUGGUUGUCGUCAGCUCGUGUCGUGAGAUGUUGGGUUAAGUCCCGCAACGAGCGCAACCCUUAUUAUCAGUUGCCAGCAUUCAGUUGGGCACUCUGGUGAGACUGCCGGUGACAAACCGGAGGAAGGUGGGGACGACGUCAAAUCAUCAUGCCCCUUAUGACCUGGGCUACACACGUGCUACAAUGGUCGGUACAACGUGCUGCGAACUCGCGAGGGCAAGCAAAUCACUUAAAACCGAUCUCAGUUCGGAUUGUAGGCUGCAACUCGCCUACAUGAAGCUGGAAUCGCUAGUAAUCGCGGAUCAGCAUGCCGCGGUGAAUACGUUCCCGGGCCUUGUACACACCGCCCGUCACACCAUGAGAGUUUGUAACACCCAAAGCCGGUGGGGUAACCCUUC